UUAAGCGACUAAGCGUACACGGUGGAUGCCCUGGCAGUCAGAGGCGAUGAAGGACGUGCUAAUCUGCGAUAAGCGUCGGUAAGGUGAUAUGAACCGUUAUAACCGGCGAUUUCCGAAUGGGGAAACCCAGUGUGUUUCGACACACUAUCAUUAACUGAAUCCAUAGGUUAAUGAGGCGAACCGGGGGAACUGAAACAUCUAAGUACCCCGAGGAAAAGAAAUCAACCGAGAUUCCCCCAGUAGCGGCGAGCGAACGGGGAGCAGCCCAGAGCCUGAAUCAGUGUGUGUGUUAGUGGAAGCGUCUGGAAAGGCGCGCGAUACAGGGUGACAGCCCCGUACACAAAAAUGCACAUGCUGUGAGCUCGAUGAGUAGGGCGGGACACGUGGUAUCCUGUCUGAAUAUGGGGGGACCAUCCUCCAAGGCUAAAUACUCCUGACUGACCGAUAGUGAACCAGUACCGUGAGGGAAAGGCGAAAAGAACCCCGGCGAGGGGAGUGAAAAAGAACCUGAAACCGUGUACGUACAAGCAGUGGGAGCACAGAGCAAUCUGUGUGACUGCGUACCUUUUGUAUAAUGGGUCAGCGACUUAUAUUCUGUAGCAAGGUUAACCGAAUAGGGGAGCCGAAGGGAAACCGAGUCUUAACUGGGCGUUAAGUUGCAGGGUAUAGACCCGAAACCCGGUGAUCUAGCCAUGGGCAGGUUGAAGGUUGGGUAACACUAACUGGAGGACCGAACCGACUAAUGUUGAAAAAUUAGCGGAUGACUUGUGGCUGGGGGUGAAAGGCCAAUCAAACCGGGAGAUAGCUGGUUCUCCCCGAAAGCUAUUUAGGUAGCGCCUCGUGAAUUCAUCUCCGGGGGUAGAGCACUGUUUCGGCAAGGGGGUCAUCCCGACUUACCAACCCGAUGCAAACUGCGAAUACCGGAGAAUGUUAUCACGGGAGACACACGGCGGGUGCUAACGUCCGUCGUGAAGAGGGAAACAACCCAGACCGCCAGCUAAGGUCCCAAAGUCAUGGUUAAGUGGGAAACGAUGUGGGAAGGCCCAGACAGCCAGGAUGUUGGCUUAGAAGCAGCCAUCAUUUAAAGAAAGCGUAAUAGCUCACUGGUCGAGUCGGCCUGCGCGGAAGAUGUAACGGGGCUAAACCAUGCACCGAAGCUGCGGCAGCGACGCUUAUGCGUUGUUGGGUAGGGGAGCGUUCUGUAAGCCUGUGAAGGUGUGCUGUGAGGCAUGCUGGAGGUAUCAGAAGUGCGAAUGCUGACAUAAGUAACGAUAAAGCGGGUGAAAAGCCCGCUCGCCGGAAGACCAAGGGUUCCUGUCCAACGUUAAUCGGGGCAGGGUGAGUCGACCCCUAAGGCGAGGCCGAAAGGCGUAGUCGAUGGGAAACAGGUUAAUAUUCCUGUACUUGGUGUUACUGCGAAGGGGGGACGGAGAAGGCUAUGUUGGCCGGGCGACGGUUGUCCCGGUUUAAGCGUGUAGGCUGGUUUUCCAGGCAAAUCCGGAAAAUCAAGGCUGAGGCGUGAUGACGAGGCACUACGGUGCUGAAGCAACAAAUGCCCUGCUUCCAGGAAAAGCCUCUAAGCAUCAGGUAACAUCAAAUCGUACCCCAAACCGACACAGGUGGUCAGGUAGAGAAUACCAAGGCGCUUGAGAGAACUCGGGUGAAGGAACUAGGCAAAAUGGUGCCGUAACUUCGGGAGAAGGCACGCUGAUAUGUAGGUGAAGUCCCUCGCGGAUGGAGCUGAAAUCAGUCGAAGAUACCAGCUGGCUGCAACUGUUUAUUAAAAACACAGCACUGUGCAAACACGAAAGUGGACGUAUACGGUGUGACGCCUGCCCGGUGCCGGAAGGUUAAUUGAUGGGGUCAGCGCAAGCGAAGCUCUUGAUCGAAGCCCCGGUAAACGGCGGCCGUAACUAUAACGGUCCUAAGGUAGCGAAAUUCCUUGUCGGGUAAGUUCCGACCUGCACGAAUGGCGUAAUGAUGGCCAGGCUGUCUCCACCCGAGACUCAGUGAAAUUGAACUCGCUGUGAAGAUGCAGUGUACCCGCGGCAAGACGGAAAGACCCCGUGAACCUUUACUAUAGCUUGACACUGAACAUUGAGCCUUGAUGUGUAGGAUAGGUGGGAGGCUUGGAAGUGUGGACGCCAGUCUGCAUGGAGCCGACCUUGAAAUACCACCCUUUAAUGUUUGAUGUUCUAACGUUGACCCGUAAUCCGGGUUGCGGACAGUGUCUGGUGGGUAGUUUGACUGGGGCGGUCUCCUCCUAAAGAGUAACGGAGGAGCACGAAGGUUGGCUAAUCCUGGUCGGACAUCAGGAGGUUAGUGCAAUGGCAUAAGCCAGCUUGACUGCGAGCGUGACGGCGCGAGCAGGUGCGAAAGCAGGUCAUAGUGAUCCGGUGGUUCUGAAUGGAAGGGCCAUCGCUCAACGGAUAAAAGGUACUCCGGGGAUAACAGGCUGAUACCGCCCAAGAGUUCAUAUCGACGGCGGUGUUUGGCACCUCGAUGUCGGCUCAUCACAUCCUGGGGCUGAAGUAGGUCCCAAGGGUAUGGCUGUUCGCCAUUUAAAGUGGUACGCGAGCUGGGUUUAGAACGUCGUGAGACAGUUCGGUCCCUAUCUGCCGUGGGCGCUGGAGAACUGAGGGGGGCUGCUCCUAGUACGAGAGGACCGGAGUGGACGCAUCACUGGUGUUCGGGUUGUCAUGCCAAUGGCACUGCCCGGUAGCUAAAU
This 2728-nucleotide ribosomal RNA is filed under the name Escherichia coli. RNAcentral's name for it is "bacterial LSU rRNA". It matches the Rfam family "Bacterial large subunit ribosomal RNA". The record is from RNAcentral. Lineage: Bacteria; Pseudomonadati; Pseudomonadota; Gammaproteobacteria; Enterobacterales; Enterobacteriaceae.